GACGAACGCUGGCGGCGUGCUUAACACAUGCAAGUCGAACGAGAAUCUACUGAAAGAGUUUUCGGACAAUGGCAGUAGAGGAAAGUAGCGGACGGGUGAGUAACGCGUGAGGAACCUGCCUUGAAGAGGGGGACAACAGUUGGAAACGACUGCUAAUACCGCAUGAAGCAUAGGGGUCGCAUGAUUCUUAUGCCAAAGAUUUAUCGCUUCAAGAUGGCCUCGCGUCUGAUUAGCUGGUUGGCGGGGUAACGGCCCACCAAGGCGACGAUCAGUAGCCGGACUGAGAGGGUGAACGGCCACAUUGGGACUGAGAUACGGCCCAGACUCCUACGGGAGGCAGCAGUGGGGAAUAUUGGGCAAUGGGCGCAAGCCUGACCCAGCAACGCCGCGUGAAGGAAGAAGGCUUUCGGGUUGUAAACUUCUUUUAAGAGGGAAGAGCAGAAGACGGUACCUCUAGAAUAAGCCACGGCUAACUACGUG
This 480-nucleotide ribosomal RNA is filed under the name uncultured bacterium. Its description in RNAcentral is "partial 16S ribosomal RNA". It matches the Rfam family "Bacterial small subunit ribosomal RNA", at positions 28 to 507 of the family's 1533-position model. The record is from RNAcentral.